Molecule: long non-coding RNA, 208 nt
Filed under: Nicotiana benthamiana
Lineage: Eukaryota; Viridiplantae; Streptophyta; Magnoliopsida; Solanales; Solanaceae
Description: long non-coding RNA (NBEN_LNC024119)
Source: RNAcentral
UCAAACACAUAAGAGAGGGAAAAGGCAGUGGGAUCACUAUGAGUAUAGGCAAUUAAGCCUUGGUUCUAGAUUAGAAGUGGCAAUGAGAUGCCAUUCUCAUCCAAAACAAACUCAUAAGCAAACAAGAGUAAAUGGGAAGGGGAAAUCACAUAGGAUUUGACAGACAAAAUUAAGUUGAAAAGACUAGGAGGAAAUAAGACAUAGUGAC